AUUUAAAAUGUAAAUCCUAGUCAUCUGCAAAAUAUUUCUCAAUCUCAGAGCCUCAUGAACCAUGGGAGGGACACGGGAAGGAGAAAACAAACUGCUACCCUUUUGAAAACAAGAGUUUCAUCUGAGCAUGGGAGAUGAGCUGUAACUUCUCAUCUUGGAAGAAGAUGGAAAACCUUCUGCACUAAUAGGCAGCUAGGAUCUGGCAUUCCAUUCCGUUUCAGCCAAGCACUCUCACACCAGUCCUCUUGGUGUGAAUAAUGCCUCAUUUUAGUCUCUCCAUGGCUCUCUUGUUCCCUGCAUAGAAUACUUGGACAUGGAACAGCAAGCAGGGAUGAGCCCACAUUUCCACGAGGUGAGAGCUUCAGUGUCACUGCUGUGUGCAGGAGGGGACUAUGGGAUGGAGCUGGAGAAGAAGCACAGCGUCACUGCAUAGCAUCCAGUGACCUGAGUGGGGACAGUGGAACAGCAGAGCAGUGUGUGAACUGUGAGCCCCAGAAACAGGAAACAAUAGAGAAGAACCCGGUGUGA
RNAcentral lists this long non-coding RNA (528 nucleotides) under Zalophus californianus (California sea lion). Its description in RNAcentral is "lncRNA (ENSZCAG00015017991.1)". The record is from RNAcentral. Lineage: Eukaryota; Metazoa; Chordata; Mammalia; Carnivora; Otariidae.